GCUCUGGUGGCUCAAUCGGAUAGAGCGUUGGACUUCUAAUCCAAAGGUUGCGGGUUUAAGUCCCGCUCAGAGUA
Perkinsus marinus ATCC 50983 is the source of this 74-nucleotide non-coding RNA. The record is from Rfam. NCBI's taxonomy places the organism in Eukaryota, Perkinsozoa, Perkinsida, Perkinsidae.